CAGUAGCCGCGGUAAUACGUAGGGUGCAAGCGUUAAUCGGAAUUACUGGGCGUAAAGCGUGCGCAGGCGGUUAUAUAAGACAGAUGUGAAAUCCCCGGGCUCAACCUGGGAACUGCAUUUGUGACUGUAUAGCUAGAGUACGGCAGAGGGGGAUGGAAUUCCGCGUGUAGCAGUGAAAUGCGUAGAUAUGCGGAGGAACACCGAUGGCGAAGGCAAUCCCCUGGGCCUGUACUGACGCUCAUGCACGAAAGCGUGUGGAGCAAACAGGAUUAGAUACCCGAGUAGUCCCUGUCUCUUAUAC
Molecule: ribosomal RNA, 301 nt
Filed under: uncultured bacterium
Lineage: Bacteria
Description: partial 16S ribosomal RNA
Rfam family: Bacterial small subunit ribosomal RNA
Source: RNAcentral